AACAUCGCGCACCUGCGGGAACCUGCGGAAGGAUCAUUAAAAGGAACGGGGGCCGGAGACGGCACCCCCUACCAACCCGUGUCUACCUUACUCGCGUUGCCUCGGCGGGCCCGCCGUCUCUCCGCUUGCGGGGGGAGGCCGCCGGCGCCUUCGGGCGCUGGCCAGCGCCCGCCAGGGGACCUCUGCAACCCGUGUCAACCGUGGACCCUCUGAGCGGAUAUCAAACAGUCAAAACUUUUA
This 240-nucleotide unclassified non-coding RNA is filed under the name soil metagenome. RNAcentral describes it as "partial contains 5.8S ribosomal RNA, internal transcribed spacer 2, and large subunit ribosomal RNA". The record is from RNAcentral.